AUGAGCAUGGGAUACAGGACACCUGUCAUCACCACCACCAUCAAGUUGGGAUUCGGGAAGGAGGUUAAUCAUAUAAGAAAUCCUGUGACCAGCAUGAGCUCCUGUCAGACCACACAGGGCACUGGAGUGAACAGGGCACAGGGGGCCCUGGAGUCAUGGAAUGCCUGGACACAGUAGACAAAGGUGGUUCAACUGGAUGCCUUAGGAAACAUGCUUCCAAAAACAAAGUAGCUGAAAAGAGACCAGAAUAACAGAAUAUCAGAGCCAGAGGAACAUUUGGAGGUAAUUCAGUACCUCCUUCUUUUCAACCUACAGGGGAGAUAGUGGAACAGAAGCAGGGAUGGGCCUGCCUGCUGUGCCCACAAUUCAUUGGAGAUUGUUGUGGUGAAGAAUUUCGUUUAUGAUGAGGGAGAAAUAAACCCCCGUCAGCUUAAAUUCGGGCAGGUUUAUUGAAAAGCUGAAGAAGCAUCUUGCAGAAGCAAAGCAUGGCUGAGGCUUGUGGGCUCUGUCUGGGAAAAUGAGCAGCCGACAAUGGCUGAUGCUGCCUCUAACUCUGUUGUUCCCUGUGAACAUCUCUUCUCUUCUCUUGCAUCUUCCCUCAGCCUGGCAGUCUCUGUAUACUCUUCAACACAUAAUUGAGCAAAGCUGUGCCAGCCCCAGUGCCACCCAGCACUUUAGGUCAAAUUAGAAAGGCGUGAAAUAAACUGGCCUGUUAUAAUACAGCUGUUGAAAUAACAGUUGAAAAUACAAUAUCUUGACUCCUGGUUGAGUGCUUUAUGCUGAACUUUCUUUUCUGAAGAGAGCACAGACUUUGGGAUAUCAGAAUACAUUAUGUUUCUUGGUUAUUUGGGGUUUAUGGUUUUCAUGAAGCUUUGAAAGUUUUCAUCUAGUAUGUUUUAAAUAUUUUUCUAUCCCUCUUAUCCACUCCAUUCCCUUCAGGGAUUCCAUUUAGUAGAGUGUUUAAAGUUUUCCCAUUGAUGGGCUUUUUAUUUCUUAAAUUCAUUUUUUCCUGUGUAUUUCAUUUGUGUUCAUUUCUAUUGCUAUUCCCUCUAAUUCAUUAACCUUUUCCUCUGCAAUGUUCAAUCUAGUGCAUUUAAAAAAAAAUUCAGACAGUAAAAUGUAGUUUUCACUCAUGGAACUUGAUAUUUUAAAAGUAUCUCCCACAUCUUCACUUAAUUAAAAUUGUAAUAACUGCUGUAAUGUCCUUGCCUGCUAUUUCUAACAUAUGUGUCAUUUUCAAUGAAUUAUUUCAUUCUUCAUUAAGUCUCAUGUUUUCCUGCCACUUUGCCUGUUUGAGAUUCUGGGAUUUGAUGCCACACAUUUGAUGUCAAUGCCUAAAUGUGCCCAGUGACACAACUCAGCUUCAGUGUCUGUGCACACCCAAGAUUGUGCAGCAGGAGAGGCAGAGAGAGCAGAGGUGAGUGUGCCACACAUGGGGGUAGGGAGUACUUCACUUGUGCUUGGGGCUUUCCUCUGCCUCACUGAAAAAUAUGUGUUCAUUUUCUUUUCCAUAAGACCUGCCCUACUUCAGGCCCUAUCCCUCCAAUGAUCAGGACAGUCCUCUUUCCAGUCUCAGCUCUCCAAUGGACGGACAAUGGUUCAAAACAAUUCAGGAGAGAAAGCAUUGUCUUAUCAACAAAUUGUGUUGAGAAAACUGGACAUCCAUAGGCAAAAAUAGAAAAAAAUUCACAGAUGCUGGUGAGGUUUUGGAGAAAAAGGAAUGCUUUUACACUGUUGGUGGGAGUGUAACUGUCAACCAUUGUGGCAGACAGUGUGGUGAUUCCUUAAAAAUAUAAAGGCAGAAAUACCACUUGACCCAGCAAUCCUAUUACUGGGUAUAUACCCAAAGGAAUAUAAAUUAUUCUGUUAUAAAGAUAUAUGCACACAUAUGUUCACUGCAGCACUAUUCACAAUAGCAAAGACAUGGGAUCAACCUAAAUGCCCUUUAAUGAUAGACUACAUAAAGAAAAUGUGGUGUAUAUAUACACAUGGAAUACUAUGCAGUCACAAAAAGGAAUAAGAUUAUGUCCUUUUCAGGGACAUGGAGGGAGUUGGAAGCCAUUAGCCUCAGCAAACUAACACAGGAAUAGAAAACAAAACCCUGCAUGUUCUCGCUUAUAGGUGGGAGAUGAAUGAUGAGAACACAUAGACAGAUAGGGUAGGGGUGGAGACAACACAUCCUUGGCCCUUUCGGGGGGUGGGAAGUGGGGAGAGGGAGAGCAUCAGGAAGAGUAGCUAAUGGAUGCUGGGCUUAAUACCUAGGUGAUGGGAUGAUCUGUGCAGCAAAGCACCAUGGCACACAUUUACCUAUGUAGCAAACCUACACAUCCUGCACAUGCACCCCUGAACUUAAAAUAAAAGUGGAAGUAAAAAACAACUAACAAAGAAAGAAAAAAAAUCCACUUAAACAUCCAUACUUGCACAAAAACUAACUCAAAAUUGAUUAUACAACUAAAUGUAAACUGCAAAUCUAGAAAACUUACAGUAGAAAACGUAAGAGAAAAUUUUCAUGAUGUAGGCACGAAGUAUUCUUAGUUAUCGUAUCAACACAAACUAUUAAAGAAAACAUUGAUAUAUUCAACUUCAUAAAAAUUAAAAAUCCUUGGUCAGCACAAGACAUCGAUAAUAGAAUAAAACAUAUGCUACAAAUUGGGAGAAAAAUAUGAAAAUCCCACAUAUGAUGAAGGACCUGUAUAAUGGUUAAUUGUGUGUGUCACUGUGACCAAGCCCCAGUGUGCCAGGACAUUUGUUCCAACAUUAUUCUGGGUGUGUGCUGGAGGGUGUUUCUGGAUGACAUUAACACUGGAAUAGGCAGACUAAGUGAAGCAGACUGUCGUCCCUAAUGUGGGUGGGCCUCAUCCAAUCAACCAAAGGUCAGAGGAGAAGGAAAGGGCCUAAUAAGAAGGAAAUGCUUUCCUGGGUAUCCAGCUUUCCAUCUUGGGAAUUGCAGCCUCCAUAAUCAUAUGUCCAAAUUUAUAUGUAUACACACACACACACACACACACAUACAAGUACAUGCAUUAUACAUAUAUAUAUAUAUAUAUAUAUAUAUGUAUACACACAUUUCAUAAGUAGGAAGGAUUGUAUUUUUAAAAGUUCAGUUAUUCAAUGAUAGUUGCUGAGCUAGCCAAUGAAUAUGAGGGAGUUCUAUUAUAUGAUUCUGUCUCCUUUUUUAUACUAUUGAAAUUCCGCAUUUGAAGAAGUAGGAUAGGAUAACAGCUGAUUUUCUUAACAUACACUUCAAAGCCCUAGGAAUUAGCAGGGAGUCAAAAAUACCACCCAGAACCCUGCCCCUAAACACCAGGACUAAACAACCCUGUAGCCCUCAGGUGAUUUUCUUUAGCAGGGUCUGGGAGCCACACAACUGCAGAGGGAGCAGGAAACACUACUCGAAUAGAGGCCAGGACAGCAGGGAGGGCCUGUUCAUGACAGAACACAGGUAAAACUAUCCUCAGAAAGUGAGUGUGAAGAAAGACAGAUCAUGCCUGAGACCUGGUAGUAAAAAAUAAUAAGCAAAGAAAGAAACAAAAGCUACCAAAACAUCCAUACUUGCACUAAAACUAACUCAAAAUUGAUUAUAGAACUAAUCAAUCCAUACUUACACUGGCUACUGGGGAAUUGAAAGGAAGGGGCUUCACGGUGCAGAGGACCAGAGGUGGCAAGCUCGGAAACCCAGAAUUGCUGGGAGAUGGGGAGGUGUGGACAAAGGAAGCAUCCUCUGGAGACUUGUGGUGAAGAGAAUGAAUGAAGUAACUGGCAGAAAUUAGAGGUCCUGGUAGAAUGAAACAGAAUCCCAGAAUGAGAACACACACCAUCCCUGUCCCCUAAAGCAAGACAUUUUCUAAAAAC
RNAcentral lists this long non-coding RNA (3849 nucleotides) under Macaca mulatta (Rhesus monkey). RNAcentral's name for it is "lncRNA (ENSMMUG00000057535.1)". Lineage: Eukaryota; Metazoa; Chordata; Mammalia; Primates; Cercopithecidae. The record is from RNAcentral.